AGGCCUUGACAUCCCCCGAACCCCCAGGAGACUGGGGGGUGCCCCUUACGGGGAGCGGGGUGACAGGUGCUGCAUGGCUGUCGUCAGCUCGUGUCGUGAGAUGUUCGGUUAAGUCCGGCAACGAGCGCAACCCUUACCAUCAGUUGCCAGCACUUCGGGUGGGAACUCUGGUGGGACUGCCCAUGAAAGUGGGAGGAAGGUGGGGAUGACGUGCGUCAGUCAA
Molecule: unclassified non-coding RNA, 223 nt
Filed under: uncultured bacterium
Lineage: Bacteria
Description: contains 16S-23S intergenic spacer region
Rfam family: Bacterial small subunit ribosomal RNA
Source: RNAcentral